UAUUUACACACAGACAUUUACGCACAGACAUUUACACACAGACACACAGACAUUUACGCACAGACAUUUAAA
This is a non-coding RNA of Pangasianodon gigas (Mekong giant catfish), 72 nucleotides long. The record is from the annotation of a GenBank genome assembly. NCBI's taxonomy places the organism in Eukaryota, Metazoa, Chordata, Actinopteri, Siluriformes, Pangasiidae.